CAUUUUUGUAAUUUCAUCAAUGCAAUUUAAUUGAUUUCUUAUUUAUGUACUAUUAGAUAUUAAUUCUUUUUGUUAUAAUCAUUUUUUUUACUCAAAAUUUAUUGGCGGCAGCCUAGCAAAGAUUCGUUGGGUUGCUUAUAGCCUUACGUUUUCUUGAAGUUGGGUUAGUUGGGUAUAGACGUAUAGUCUCUGUCAAUACUCAGUACUCAAUGCAUAAUCCCAUUGCUGGUGACGCUUUUUCUUCGUUUCAUCAUAUUUCUUGACGCUUUGGGAACUGAUAAUAUACUCUUGUUUUGUUGAUUUCAAUUCAAUAGGAAAAGUUAAUUUUAAUUUGAACCCCAAUUUUUAUAAUUACUAUCAGAUUAUCCAAUGAUUGUCACUGCAAUUCCCAAAUCCUUGAAACCCUAAAAAGGGAAAAUCAAAUAAUUAGACAAGUGGGAAACGACUAUGAAAACAGGUUCUAGAUUGAUCACUUUACCUUGUGGUUGUGGUACCAUUAUCAUUGCUGGGAAUUCCAAGAAGUCUCAAGCACAGCCAUCUAAGGAUUCUGAACCGCCUCCAAGGAUCACAUCAAAUGUAAAGCAGAAUUUGCAGUUUCUGAAGUUGUGGAAGGAGUUCCAGAAAAGAAAAUCCAGCACACCUAAGCCAGCCACUAGCUAUCGUCGCAAGAAGUUGGAGAAGGAGGACCUUCCACCAGAUACAGAACUCUACAAGGAUCCAACCUUGUCACUUUAUUAUACAAAUCAGGAUAUCGACAGUGCUGUCCCUGUCUUGCUUGUUGAUGGUUAUAAUGUCUGUGGUUACUGGGUGAAACUGAAGAAGCAUUUCAUGAAUGGACGACUUGAUGUUGCGAGGCAAAAGCUAGUGGAUGAACUUGUUCAGUUCAGCUUGGUAAGAGAAGUAAAGGUGGUGGUUGUAUUUGAUGCUAUGAUGUCUGGACUACCUACCCACAAAGAAACAUUUGCAGGGGUGGAUAUAAUUUACUCAGCAGAGUCCUGUGCUGAUGCAUGGAUAGAAAAGGAGGUUGUGGCAUUGAGGGAAGAUGGUUGCCCAAAGGUGUGGGUUGUAACGUCUGAUCUUGCUCAACAGCAUGCAGCUUAUGGAGCGGGAGCGUUUGUUUGGAGCAGCAAGGCACUAGUUUCUGAGAUCAAGUCUACAAAGAAAGAAAUGGAAAGAAUGCUUCAAGAGCAAAGAUCUACUUCCAUGCAAGGAAAGCUUCUCAAGCACAAUCUCGAUACAGAAGUUGUCGAUGCUUUAAAGGACCUCAAGAUGAAGUUGUCACAAAAUGGGUCGAAAUAGCUCUCAAAAUAAAGCUUAAUUCUUCUCCUAUCGAUCCAUAUCAGCUGCUGAAUUAUCCGGGAGAUAAUUUUCCCAUCUCCAGUAUUUGAUCAUACUUACACACACAGAAAGCAGAAUCAAAUAUAUUUGGCAUUUCCAAAAGCAGAAUAUACAACUACAGAUCCAUUUAUUGGCUUUAAAUUCCAGGCUUGUAUAGUUUAUGUUGUGCCUUUUUCAAGUUUUCAGUUAAAUUUUCAAUUAUAGCUGAUCACUUUUGUUUUUGUAAAAAAUGCAGUAUCAAUUUGUUUUGAAUAAUUGUAUUGAACAGUUGAUUAUGAGUGAAUACAACUUUUCUAAGGUUGUGAAUAGAGAUUGGAAUGGAUCUUGAACACAGUUGGAUUCCGAUUCCAGUUAUAUACUUAUAUUUAUCAGGGAGCGAAAGAAAGAUCUGCAUAUGGUGUUCAUUGACUUGGAGAAAGUGUAUGAUAGCAUAUCAUGACGUGUCAUCUAGGAUAGUCUCAAGGCCCUCAAGGCUAGAGGGAUUUCUUCAGUGUACAUUGAGGUCAUACGGGAUAUGUAUGACAGAGUUUCGACUAGCAUUCAAACAUCGGUGGGGAUAACAGAGCCUUUUCCGGUUAAAGUGGGACUACAUUAAGGAUCGGCUCUAAGCCCUUUCAUUUUUACUGUCAUAAUGGAAGAGAUUUCUAAAUCUAUUUGGGAGACGGUACCGUGGUGCAUGAUAUUCGCGGACGACAUAUUGCUGGUAGUAGAAACUAAAGAGGAGGUUAGUAACGAAUUGGAUGAGUGGAGGGAAGCUUUAGAAGGAAAAGGAUUGCGCAUUAGCCAUACGAAGACCGAGUAUUUGUGCAGUGACUUUAGUGGGACACAACCGGUAGGUGAAUCAGAGGUGUCCAUAGAGGAAACAGUUGUUAAGAGUACAACCAAGUACAAGUAUUUGGGAUCGAUCAUUCAAAGGGGUGGGGAGAUUGACGGGGAUGUAAAUCAUCGUAUACAUGCGGGUUGGCUCAAGUGGCGAGUAGCCACUGCAGUGCUGUGUGAUAAGAAAUUCCCAAGCAAGUUAAAAUGAAAAUUCUACCGAGCGGCAAUCAGACCUGCUCUACUAUAUGGGAUCGAAUGUUGGCCUCUAAAAAAGAUAUUCGAACAUAAGAUGGAAGUUACAGAAAUGCGUAUGCUGAGGUGGAUGUGUGGGCACACAUUAAUGGAUCGAAUUAAGAACCAAGAGUUUAGGGACAAACUAGGGGUAGCCCCUAUAUCUGGAAAAAUGCGCAAAAAUAAAUUGAGGUGGUUUGGUCAUGUGCAGAGAAAGACUUUCGACGCCCCUGUCAGGUGGGUAGAAAGCAUCAUAGUAGAGGGUAAAAAGGAGGCGAGGAAGACCUAGGAGAACUUGGGAUGAGCAAAUAAGUGUUGACUUGCAUGAGUUAAACCUCUCUGCGAACCUAAUUAGGGAUAGGAGUAGUUGGAGACACCAUAUCCAUGUCUUAGAAAACUGAUGUCCUUUUAGUUUACCUUUUAGUGUUCUUAACCUCUUGUUUUUAUCGUUUCCUUUCUAUUAGUUCUUUGUUUUCUUUUUGUAGUGAUCCUUCUCUUUUUUUUAGGCCUUUAAGUUAUUUUCCAUGUGUUAUUACGUCUCUUUAUCUUCG
Molecule: RNA transcript, 2939 nt
Organism: Amaranthus tricolor (Joseph's coat)
Lineage: Eukaryota; Viridiplantae; Streptophyta; Magnoliopsida; Caryophyllales; Amaranthaceae
Exons: 12
Source: RefSeq, a predicted model, not a curated record